UAAGACGAACCGUACGAACGUUAUUCGGAAUCACUGGGCUUAAAGGGUGCGUAGGCGGCGCAGAAAGUAGGGUGUGAAAUCCCUCGGCUCAACCGAGGAACUGCGCUCUAAACUACUGUGCUCGAGGGAGAUAGAGGUGAGCGGAACUUAGGGUGGAGCGGUGAAAUGCGUUGAUAUCCUAAGGAACACCGGUGGCGAAAGCGGCUCACUGGAUCUCUUCUGACGCUGAGGCACGAAAGCUAGGGUAGCAAACGGGAUUAGAUACCCCGGUAGUCCUAGCCGUAAACGAUGAGCACUGGAUUGGAGGGCCCUCCAUAGCCUUCCAGUCGCAGCGAAAGUGUUAAGUGCUCCGCCUGGGGAGUAUGGUCGCAAGGCUG
RNAcentral lists this ribosomal RNA (377 nucleotides) under uncultured bacterium. RNAcentral describes it as "bacterial SSU rRNA". It matches the Rfam family "Bacterial small subunit ribosomal RNA", at positions 521 to 896 of the family's 1533-position model. The record is from RNAcentral.